Molecule: ribosomal RNA, 2682 nt
Filed under: Drosophila melanogaster (fruit fly)
Lineage: Eukaryota; Metazoa; Arthropoda; Insecta; Diptera; Drosophilidae
Description: eukaryotic LSU rRNA
Rfam family: Eukaryotic large subunit ribosomal RNA (bases 1847-2682)
Source: RNAcentral
CGUUGGCUGCUCAGAGGAUGCCAUUUUCUUUGUGGUAGAGCGUGUGACGCGGAGGAAAUCAGUCCCGACAGCGGAGGGACUCUCGGAUUUUCUCGAUAGAGAAGACUCACUAGACGCUCGCGUCACUGGUCGGGAAAUGACCAACCUAGGAGUUGUCUUCGAACUGGUCGAUGGCAAAACCUUUGCUUUCGGAGUGGGAGUCGCGGUUUUGACCCUGGGACUAACGGACUUGGGUGCUGGCUUACCGCGAGUGGAUAGCGGAGAUUGCAGGUUGAACUUUUGUUCUUUUCCAGGUGCGGGUGUCUUUUUCUUGUCUCCCUCUAGGGGCAUGCUCAGCUAUGCCCUAGGAGAAGGAAGUCAAGAAGGCCUGCACGCCGCAAAAAAUGUGGAAUUGAAAAAGAACCAGACAGCUUAAAUAAAGCACAACAUAAUAAUAUAAAUAAUAGCUACCAGAUGGUGUCUGGGUAAUAGCCAAUAAUUUAUAAAAAAUCGCUACCGACUGGAAAUCCCGAAAAAAAUAGCUAAUAUAUAGAAAAUAGCUAUAAAUUGGAAUUUAUGGAAAAAUAGCUAAAAAAAAUAGCUAUCGAAUAGAGUUCGGAUGAUAGCUAAUAAUUUAUAAAAAUAGCUACCGGAUUUAGGACCACAACGAAAAAAAAAAAAACCAACAAACACGCCAAAAAGCCAAGUUGGGAGGCUGAUAAAUUUGGGUGGAAUAGGGUAUUCUCUCGUCGCUAUGCGCCGGUUUUUUGUCAGGGCAAUAAAGAACAAAGAAGAGACGAAAGAGCUUGCACUUGGCAAGCCUAUGUAAGUCGCGACUGUGUGUAUGUAUGUAUGUAUUAUUUGGAGUUUAAUAGGGGAUGUGCAAUAUGUAUUUAUGUAUGGAGAAACAUAUAUAUGAAAUGUAAUCUCGGAAGAAAAAGUCAGGGUUUAUUUUAUUCUGUAUGUCGAGAUUUGUGUUUUAUUUUGAGCCAAGAGAUAUAAUUUGUUCUCAGUUCGGCUUCGAUAUUAUUUAUGAUUUUUGGUAAUAUAUUUCAUUUGUGUAUUAAAUUGGUUAAAUCUAUGGAGUGAUUCUUAUAUAUGUAUGUGGAUGUAAAUUUUAUUGGAAUAUAUGUGGAUAUGUAUGGAUAUGUAUAUAUAUGGGUAUGUAUAAUUUUAUGUGUAUGUAAAAUUUUGCUGAAUAUAUGUAUAUGUAUAUUUGAUUUAAUUUAAUUGAAUUUGUGGUUUGUAUAUUUUAUUGCGGCAAAAAAAAAACAGCAGUUUAGCAGCGGACGUUAAUAGUGAAUUUUGGACAGUGUUUAAAAAAAUGUAUGUAUAUAUAUGUAUAUGCGCUUGGAUACCAGCGGAUCACCGUGAGACGAAUUAGGGGGCCGGUAUUGGCAAAGUGCUUGUUUAUGCACUUAAAAAAAGAAGUAAUCACGGUGGCUGGGCGCAUGUACUUACAUAUUUUCACUUAAUUUUCACUUUUCACUUGAUACGGAUGGACGGAAAGAAUAAACGCCGUUGGAAAAACGAGAAUGGCGACCACGGACAGAAUAGGAUUUAAUGCCGUACUUAUCUUGAUUUUUCCGCAAGGAGCGCUGGCAGAAUCAGGAUGUAUCGCGGACUCGAAAAAUCCGGCUCGAAGGACCAUGAAGUGGAGUGGGCGGAAUUGUUUGUUGUUGCGGCUAAUUCCUCCAGAAAUGAAACGUCCGGGAUCGCCUUCAAUUGGUUGCACUUUAUUCUCGCUCUUGUAAAUUAAGACUAACUUAAACCUAACAUCGGAAAUACCGCGGGACCGCGGAGUGGUGAAGACCUUGCGGGAAGGGAGGAGAGCGAGAGGAGAGAAGGAGAGCGCGAGCAGCGGUGCUUGCGAGCCGUGGAGGAGCUUUGAGUACAAGCAUUGGCCGCUUACACUGCCGCUCAAAUUUGAUUUGAUUUGAAAAUUUGGUAUAACUCCAAUUACUCAGGUAUGAUCCAAUUCAAGGACAUUGCCAGGUAGGGAGUUUGACUGGGGCGGUACAUCUCUCAAAUAAUAACGGAGGUGUCCCAAGGCCAGCUCAGUGCGGACAGAAACCACACAUAGAGCAAAAGGGCAAAUGCUGACUUGAUCUCGGUGUUCAGUACACACAGGGACAGCAAAAGCUCGGCCUAUCGAUCCUUUUGGUUUAAAGAGUUUUUAACAAGAGGUGUCAGAAAAGUUACCAUAGGGAUAACUGGCUUGUGGCGGCCAAGCGUUCAUAGCGACGUCGCUUUUUGAUCCUUCGAUGUCGGCUCUUCCUAUCAUUGUAAAAUUCACCAAGCGUUGGAUUGUUCACCCAUGCAAGGGAACGUGAGCUGGGUUUAGACCGUCGUGAGACAGGUUAGUUUUACCCUACUAAUGACAAAACGUUGUUGCGACAGCAUUCCUGCGUAGUACGAGAGGAACCGCAGGUACGGACCAAUGGCACAAUACUUGUUCGAGCGAACAGUGGUAUGACGCUACGUCCGUUGGAUUAUGCCUGAACGCCUCUAAGGUCGUAUCCGUGCUGGACUGCAAUGAUAAAUAAGGGGCAAUUUGCAUUGUAUGGCUUCUAAACCAUUUAAAGUUUAUAAUUUACUUUAUAAACGACAAUGGAUGUGAUGCCAAUGUAAUUUGUAACAUAGUAAAUUGGGAGGAUCUUCGAUCACCUGAUGCCGCGCUAGUUACAUAUAAAAGCAUUAUUU